This 91-nucleotide transfer RNA is filed under the name Gammaproteobacteria bacterium. RNAcentral describes it as "tRNA-Ser". It matches the Rfam family "tRNA". From Rfam's summary of the family: Transfer RNA (tRNA) molecules are approximately 80 nucleotides in length. The record is from RNAcentral. Lineage: Bacteria; Pseudomonadati; Pseudomonadota; Gammaproteobacteria.
GGAGAGGUGUCUGAGCGGUCGAAAGAGCACGCCUGGAAAGUGUGUAUAGGUUAAUAGCCUAUCGAGGGUUCGAAUCCCUCCCUCUCCGCCA